GUGUUGACAAUAUAGAAAAUUAUAUUGGGAAGUUGUCAUUUCUACAGUAAAAACAGCUUUUUUUUCAAGUAGUACGAAUUGUGACUUCGAUUUAUCUGUGGAACUAUUUGAACAGAAGGUAAAGCAGUAAUUUUGUUGUAUUUAGAAAGCAAACAGAGUCAUAUUUUUAAAAAUAUAGCGCACUGAAUAUAAAUUUGAGCAUCAUUAAAAUGUGUUCGCUAUGAUGCCAUUUUGUCUCCGGUAUAUACGGAGUUCUGCUUUUAUACUUGUGGAUAUUCGAAUUUAUUUGGCUCAAAAACACCAUUACUUCAAUAUCCCUUUCUUGUUUUUCCUUGGAUAGGUUUUAACAAGAUAGAACUCUAGAUCCCUUGGGUCCAAAGACGCUAGAUUAUAAACUGAUCCUGAUGUGACUUGAUACUACAAAUAGAAUAUGUCUUAUGAUUUUAUAAUACUACAAAUAAAAUGUCUUUUAAGUACAAACUUCAAUGAAUUGAUAAAGUGUAAGGAUAGUGUUUAAAGUUGCUUCAUGUGUAGAAGCUGAAUUACUUUAGUUUAUACACUGUAUAUUGUCGAGAUCACAUGUUGAUAUGACUUAAUACCAGCAACUUGCAAUAAGUGGUCUGUUCUGCUUGUUUAUAAUACUUUAGAGUUUGGACAUUAGAACAUUGUAAUUGCCUGACAGAGACUGUUAGGGCCUGUUUGUAUGGAAGCCGGGCUGGCCCGCUUAGCAAGACAGCCCGGUAAUUUUGUUGUUUUGACAGUUGUUAAAAAUAGCUUGCGGCAGUAUCUUUUAACUUUCAUCCCGGCAACCGGGCUAGCCUGCUUAUGAUUGUUUAUGUGGAGAAAUUUCCAUCCUGGUCUUGGCAACCGGGCCUGCCCGCUUGUCCAUAGAAAUGAUAAUUUGUACUAUAAAAAUAACUAGACAGCGAGAUCUCACUUACCGGGCUGUCUCACUUAGUGGGCCAGCCAGUUUCGAUAUAAACAGGCCCUUACACAACUGCUAAAAGCUGCAAGUUUCUUUAAAGCAAUAUCAUCUAUAUCACAGAAUACAGUUUCUGUAGUGACAUACUUUGUGUUUUUUCUGUCUUUAAAGUGUCUUAUGUUUGUAAUAUUUUUGUACAAUACCUUUUUGAAAUUGUUGAUACUGGUCUCAUUGUAACUCAGUAGUCUCAGUUAUUCCUUCUCAAGAAAAAUACAAAAACAAAGCUGUGUUGGUGUGUUUUUGCUCUAGCUAGUUUUUACAUUUACAUGGUUCAUGUACAAUUAAUGUACAUUUAAAUUAGCUUUGUUCAAUGAAUACAGGUGUGAUUCAAAUAUCAUUCCUGUCAGGUACUUGGGUCAAAUAGACAUAUGCAUACUAAAUCAUGAUGUGAAUUGAAAUACAAGUAUAGGGUGUAUAUUGUUUAAUAAAUAUAUUUUCCAGUUAACCCAGU
Non-coding RNA from Paramuricea clavata, 1433 nucleotides. The record is from the annotation of a GenBank genome assembly. Lineage: Eukaryota; Metazoa; Cnidaria; Anthozoa; Malacalcyonacea; Plexauridae.